GACGAACGCUGGCGGCGUGCUUAACACAUGCAAGUCGAACGGAAAGGCCCUGCAUUUGUGGGGUGCUCGAGUGGCGAACGGGUGAGUAACACGUGAGUAACCUGCCCUUGACUUUGGGAUAACUUCAGGAAACUGGGGCUAAUACCGGAUAGGAGCUCCUGCUGCAUGUUGGGGGUUGGAAAGUUUCGGCGGUUGGGGAUGGACUCGCGGCUUAUCAGCUUGUUGGUUGGGUAGUGGCUUACCAAGGCUUUGACGGGUAGCCGGCCUGAGAGGGUGACCGGACAAAUUGGAACUGAGAGACGGCACAGACUCCUACGGGAGGCAGCAGUGGGGAAUAUUGCUCAAUGGGCGGAAGCCUGAUGCAGCAACGCCGCGUGCGGGAUGAAGGCCUUCGGGUUGUAACCCGCUUUCGCCUGGGACGAAGCGUGAGUGACGGUAAUGGGUAAAGAAGCACCGGCUAACUACGUG
This 468-nucleotide ribosomal RNA is filed under the name uncultured bacterium. Its description in RNAcentral is "partial 16S ribosomal RNA". It matches the Rfam family "Bacterial small subunit ribosomal RNA", at positions 28 to 507 of the family's 1533-position model. The record is from RNAcentral.